Molecule: unclassified non-coding RNA, 177 nt
Filed under: uncultured fungus
Lineage: Eukaryota; Fungi
Description: sequence contains ITS1
Source: RNAcentral
UUGAUUCGUUUGUGUUUUCUCGGAGAUGCCAACGCAGAUGAGACAGGGUAAGGGGCCGCCGGCGGGCGGAGCGCUGGGCUGGCCAGCACCCGCCGAGGCAACGAUGUAGGUAGGUUCACGGUGGUUACGGGAGGGUUAUGUCCUGUAAUGAUCCCUCCGCUGGUUCACCAACGGAGA